RNAcentral lists this small RNA (52 nucleotides) under Caenorhabditis elegans. RNAcentral's name for it is "Unclassified non-coding RNA F54A3.11". Lineage: Eukaryota; Metazoa; Nematoda; Chromadorea; Rhabditida; Rhabditidae. The record is from RNAcentral.
AAAUCGAUGGAAAAUGACCGAAAAUUGGAAAAAUCGACGAAAAUCGACUGGA